This is a non-coding RNA of Parasteatoda tepidariorum (common house spider), 187 nucleotides long. The record is from RefSeq and is a predicted model, not a curated record. Lineage: Eukaryota; Metazoa; Arthropoda; Arachnida; Araneae; Theridiidae.
AGAUGAGAAAAUUUGAAUUGAACUCUGGACCUCUCUGGUAGAAGAUGAACAACUUAACGGUCACACCACAAUGUAAAAGACUCAUCUUCACUGUGUUGCUUCUUGCAAUAAUUCAACUCCUGGAAAACCUUGAUCAACUUGAGUAAUCAUGAAACAACCUGGGAGAGAAUGAAAAAUGCUUUGAAUA